GCAGUCGAACGAUGAAGCCCAGCUUGCUGGGUGGAUUAGUGGCGAACGGGUGAGUAACACGUGAGUAACCUGCCCCCGACUCUGGGAUAAGCCCGGGAAACUGGGUCUAAUACCGGAUAUUACCUUUGACCGCAUGGUUGUUGGUGGAAAGAUUUAUCGGUGGGGGAUGGACUCGCGGCCUAUCAGCUUGUUGGUGAGGUAAUGGCUCACCAAGGCGACGACGGGUAGCCGGCCUGAGAGGGUGACCGGCCACACUGGGACUGAGACACGGCCCAGACUCCUACGGGAGGCAGCAGUGGGGAAUAUUGCACAAUGGGCGAAAGCCUGAUGCAGCGACGCCGCGUGAGGGAUGACGGCCUUCGGGUUGUAAACCUCUUUCAGUAGGGAAGAAGCGAAAGUGACGGUACCUGCAGAAGAAGCGCCGGCUAACUACGUGCCAGCAGCCGCGGUAAUACGUAGGGCGCAAGCGUUAUCCGGAUUUAUUGGGCGUAAAGAGCUCGUAGGCGGUUUGUCGCGUCUGCCGUGAAAGUCCGAGGCUCAACCUCGGAUCUGCGGUGGGUACGGGCAGACUAGAGUGAUGUAGGGGAGACUGGAAUUCCUGGUGUAGCGGUGAAAUGCGCAGAUAUCAGGAGGAACACCGAUGGCGAAGGCAGGUCUCUGGGCAUUUACUGACGCUGAGGAGCGAAAGCAUGGGGAGCGAACAGGAUUAGAUACCCUGGUAGUCCAUGCCGUAAACGUUGGGCACUAGGUGUGGGGGACAUUCCACGUUUUCCGCGCCGUAGCUAACGCAUUAAGUGCCCCGCCUGGGGAGUACGGCCGCAAGGCUAAAACUCAAAGGAAUUGACGGGGGCCCGCACAAGCGGCGGAGCAUGCGGAUUAAUUCGAUGCAACGCGAAGAACCUUACCAAGGCUUGACAUGUGCCAGACCGCCUCAGAGAUGGGGUUUCCCUUCGGGGCUGGUUCACAGGUGGUGCAUGGUUGUCGUCAGCUCGUGUCGUGAGAUGUUGGGUUAAGUCCCGCAACGAGCGCAACCCUCGUUCCAUGUUGCCAGCACGUAAAGGUGGGGACUCAUGGGAGACUGCCGGGGUCAACUCGGAGGAAGGUGGGGAUGACGUCAAAUCAUCAUGCCCCUUAUGUCUUGGGCUUCACGCAUGCUACAAUGGCCGGUACAAUGGGUUGCGAUACUGUGAGGUGGAGCUAAUCCCUAAAAGCCGGUCUCAGUUCGGAUUGGGGUCUGCAACUCGACCCCAUGAAGUCGGAGUCGCUAGUAAUCGCAGAU
Molecule: ribosomal RNA, 1279 nt
Filed under: Arthrobacter sp. Ib12
Lineage: Bacteria; Bacillati; Actinomycetota; Actinomycetes; Micrococcales; Micrococcaceae
Description: bacterial SSU rRNA
Rfam family: Bacterial small subunit ribosomal RNA
Source: RNAcentral